RNAcentral lists this ribosomal RNA (580 nucleotides) under uncultured bacterium. RNAcentral describes it as "bacterial SSU rRNA". It matches the Rfam family "Bacterial small subunit ribosomal RNA", at positions 8 to 570 of the family's 1533-position model. The record is from RNAcentral.
AGAGUUUGAUCAUGGCUCAGGAUAAACGCUGGCGGCGCACAUAAGACAUGCAAGUCGAACGGAAGUCGUUAUAAAAAGGAUUGAAGAUUUAUCUGAUUGAGAUUUUAUAACAAUGGCUUUAGUGGCGGACUGGUGAGUAACGCGUGAGCAACCUGCCUACUAGAGGGGAAUAACAGUGAGAAAUCAUUGCUAAUACCGCAUAUGCCAUGAACAUCACAUGAUGAAAAUGGGAAAAGAGUGAUCUGCUAGUAGAUGGGCUCGCGUCUGAUUAGAUAGUUGGUGGGGUAACGGCCUACCAAGUCGACGAUCAGUAGCCGGACUGAGAGGUUGAACGGCCACAUUGGGACUGAGAUACGGCCCAGACUCCUACGGGAGGCAGCAGUCGGGAAUAUUGCGCAAUGGAGGAAACUCUGACGCAGUGACGCCGCGUAUAGGAAGAAGGUUUUCGGAUUGUAAACUAUUGUCGUUAGGGAAGAUACAAGACAGUACCUAAGGAGGAAGCUCCGGCUAACUACGUGCCAGCAGCCGCGGUAAUACGUAGGGAGCAAGCGUUAUCCGGAUUUUUGGGUGUAAAGGGUGC